RNAcentral lists this ribosomal RNA (478 nucleotides) under uncultured bacterium. RNAcentral describes it as "SSU rRNA". It matches the Rfam family "Bacterial small subunit ribosomal RNA", at positions 26 to 518 of the family's 1533-position model. The record is from RNAcentral.
AGGACGAACGCUGGCGGCGUGCUUAACACAUGCAAGUCGAACGGAAAGGCCCCUUCGGGGGUACUCGAGUGGCGAACGGGUGAGUAACACGUGGGUGAUCUGCCCUGCACUUCGGGAUAAGCCUGGGAAACUGGGUCUAAUACCGGAUAUGACCAUGGGAUGCAUGUCUUGUGGUGGAAAGCUUUUGCGGUGUGGGAUGGGCCCGCGGCCUAUCAGCUUGUUGGUGGGGUUAAGGCCUACCAAGGCGACGACGGGUAGCCGGCCUGAGAGGGUGACCGGCCACACUGGGACUGAGAUACGGCCCAGACUCCUACGGGAGGCAGCAGUGGGGAAUAUUGCACAAUGGGCGCAAGCCUGAUGCAGCGACGCCGCGUGAGGGACGACGGCCUUCGGGUUGUAAACCUCUUUCAGCACAGACGAAGCGCAAGUGACGGUAUGUGCAGAAGAAGGACCGGACCAACUACGUGCCAGCAGCCGC